CUUUGACAGUUUAUUUUUGGAUUCUUUCAGUACCAGAAAUUAAACUCCAGGCCCCUUUGCACUGAGCUAUAUCCCCAGCCACCCCCUCCCCCCACUCUUUUUUUGAGACAAGGUCUUGAGUUGUCCUGGCUGGGCUCAAACUUGCAGCCCUCCUGUCUCAGCCUCUCAGAGUUCUGGUAUUACAGCUGUGCACUUCAUGGCCAUCUGUUUGUGACCUCUUUACGAUCUUCUAUGUACAAGAUCAUAUCAUCUGUGAGCAGAGAUAAUUUUUAGUUCUUUCUUUCCAAUGUGAAUGCUUUUUAUUUUUUUCUUGCCUAACUGCUGUGGCUAAAGUCUCCAGCACUGUGUUGAACAGGAGGGGCAGGAGUGGCCCUUGCCCCCUUCCUGACCUUAGAGGAAUAGUAUCAGUCUCCACAUUCACUGAGCGAACCCACUGCUCAGGAUUCUCCAUAGAUGGUUUGCACUCUGUUGAGAUGAUUUACUCCUCUUCCGCCUUUGUUGAGUGCUGCUACCAUGAAAGGGUGUUGAAUUUUGUCAAAUCAUUUUUCUGCAUCAGUUGCACGAUCAUGUGAUUUUUAUUAUUCACUCUGCUAAAGUGAGGUUAUGGUUUGGAUCUAAAAUGGCCCACACAGCCUCAUGUGUUUGGAAGGUGAUUGGACCAUAGCGGCACUAGCUUGGUUUAGGGAAGUAGGGUCUGGUGGCAAGAGGCGGUCCCUGGCUUUAUCUCCCUCCUUGGGUCCUGCUUUGACUCUGUGCUUCCUGUCUGCCAUGAGGUGAGCAGCUCUUCCUCUGCUGUGCCCCUCUCCCAAGCUGUUUCUCCCUUGGACUAGAAACAUGAGCCAAAAUAAUCCUCUCCUCCUUGAAGUUGCCAGUGCUGGGUACUGUGUCUGUGACGAGAAAGUAGCUGAGACAAGAGGUGUAUUACACCAAUGGACUGUCGUGUGGAACCACCCUGGUCAAGGUGAUAGUCCUUUAAUGUGCAGGUGGAUUCAGUAUGUAUUUCGCUGAGGACAUUCACAUAUGAGUUCAUGAGGGUUUGGUCUGUAGAUUUUUCCUCUUGUGGUGUCUUUGCUGCCUUUGGUAUCCAGCUGAGCAUAGCCUCAGAAUGACACAGGAAGUAUUUCCUCCUCUUCUGUUUUCUGAGAGCAUUGUUUUCUAAGCAUUUGGUAGAAUUCAGCACUCAAGCCAGCAGGUCUGGGGCUUUCUUUGUCAGGAGAUUUUUGAUUGCAAAGUCAAUCUCUUUGUUUUUGGUACCGGGGAUCGAACUCGGGUCCUUGCGCUUGCACAGCAGGUGGCAAAACCACUGAGCUAAAUCCCCAGCCUACUAAGUCAAUCUCUUUAUUAGCUGUAGGUCUGUCCGGGUUUUCUAUUUUGUGUGCUUUAGAUUUGGUAGGUUUUGUAUUUCUAGGAACUUAUCCUGUGCUUUCGUGUAAAACAAGAGAUGAAGAUAUGAGUGGAAACAACAAGUCUGGCCCGAGUGCCUGAGAAGCAGCAGGAGAACCUGAGCCUCCUAGAGUGAUCAAGGCCAAGCAGCUGUCUGUGUCCACUACAGGGGCCAGGGAGCCAUGCCCAGGAUGCUCUGUAACAUUAAGGCCGUGGAGGAGCAGGAGGCUCUGUUGGGCCAAGCUGGCUUCUCUGGGGGACCCUGUGAAGGGCUAUUGCCAUAGUGGGACCUUGGGGACCGGGCAGGGACCCCCUCAUCAGAAGCCCCUCUGGCUACGGCCUAUCUGUAGGGGAUGCCUCACUGCCCAUUUGCUUUCCAGGCCUAAGACUUUCAUCUUUGUAUUUCAGCAACAGAACUGCAUCUCAAUAGUGACAGGGAAAUAAAGGCCCGAGCAGCUCCUUUUCCACCCUGGUUUAGCUGUGCAACCUCCGCCCUCAGUGACCGACACCCAGGGCCUGCACGAGCUGCUUUGUCUGCUGUCUUUUCCCACAGGCCACCUCACUCCACAGCGUCACAAACUCCCUGUGUGUCUGGGCUCGGGUGUUCCAGCAGCUUCCUGGACUGAGCAUCUGUGCUGGGCCUUACGAGGCUCCAGCGUGCUGUCUUUGCCUCUGUCCCAGAAGCACCUCCCUUGCCUUGGCCACGUUCCUAUAAGCAGAAUGAUGGCCACCCCGUGGAAGGGCCCUGGUCCUGCAGAAUUCUCCAAGAGGGUUUGCCUUGAGCCCAGGCAUCCCAGGCAGCCCUGGGCAGGGUUCCCCCGGAUGCCAGCAUCUCCUCAGUAGCAGCUGCACCAACAGUGACAUGUGAACAGACUAAGAAGAUGUUCCAGCCAGAUGAUGGAAUUUGCUCAGCCCAACAUGGAGGAGCUUAGGAACACAUGUGGGGUGAAGGAAGCCACACGGAAGACACGACAGGACGUAGGAGUCUAUUUUUAUGAAAGGUCCAGAAUAGAAUGAAGAAAGGAAACCCACAGAGUGCGUGAGGAUGGUUUAAUAAAGCAAAAACCCCAGGAAGAGCGGGAUGGGAGCAGCCAGGCCUCGUGUGGGGGCUGGCAGCGGGGUGGAGGGGCCAGCAGCUUGGUGGACGGAUGGAGGGAUGGCACGGGCUCCAACUCUCCUGCCAGCACCUGCCCCGAGCUGACAGAUGGCCUGUCCCCCGCAGCCCCUCCAGCUUCAUUCCUGCCUGGAGCUGCCCCUCCAGCCCCAGCCCUGGUCCCCUGAGUUCAGCAGCCCUGCAGGGCCCACAGGGGCCACUGCACAGCUCUGGAUGACACUGCUGGCCCCUGUCCCCCAUGUGCACAGACAUCCCCUCCCCAGGCUGGGGUCUCCGCCUGGCACUGCCCAUCGUCUGUCUGGAGCGCUGGCCAGCAGGGUAUGCGGGGGCCUCCUGCUGGACACCGCCCCCUGCUGGGCACGGGGAUGGAGGAGAAUUAGCUCCUCUCCCCAGGAGCCUCUCCAUGUGGCCUCCUCCCAGAUCACCGUGUGCCCUCUGGGUGGGUGGGUGGCUCCCGGCCCGCUCUGAACAUUGGGCAGCAGGCUUGCCUUCCCAGGAAGGCUGGGCACCCUUGGCAGGCUGCCCUCUGCCCCAUGGCAGCGUUGCUUUGGCAACUGCCAGGACUUACUGUCCCCGGCCUGCCAAGCACAGCUGCGGUGGGUGGCACUGUGGGGCAGGGCUUCUUCCCGGGCCGAGCGGCUCUCUGGGCCAGCUGGGGUGGGCGCAGCCCUCCCCCUGCAGCUGCACCCCUCUGCACAGACACAGGAGGGGCCACAGCCAGAGGCAGUGUGGAUGGUGGGCUGGGGUCCCAGCCUUGGCCUCCUCUUGCUGCACAUGUGAAGUUGCCCCUUUCGGUGCCUCGGUGUCCCUGUGUUCCCAGGAGGCUCAGCACUGGGGCUCCCCGGCAUGCCGAGGUGCUAUUCAGAGCCGGACAGGAAGAGCUGGGCAUGUGUACGGGGACUGCCCACUGCAGGGGGUGGUCCUGCCAGGCAGGGGUGCCUAGCACAGGUUAGUGCUGAAUCCAGGGCAAAAAUGCUCACAUGGCUAAUUGGGAUUAAAACACUUAUGGGAAGAAUUUAGGAAGGUGCUGGCCCAGUCCCCUGGCGCCUGAGUUCCCCACUCUGCCCUCCUAUAGUUGGUUAAAUUGCCCCCCUGAUAAAAAGGAAAUGUCCAAGUCCUAGCCUCGUACCUGUGAAUAAAGCCGUAGGGAGUUUGGAAACAGAGUCUUUGCAGGUACAAUUAGGACGAGGUCACACUUGGCAGGGUGCAGCUCAGCGGCAGAGUGCUCAUCUGGCACAUGCAAGGCCCUGGCUUCAUCCCCAGUGCUGCACAAAAACAGAAAAGCUGAGGCUGUACUGGCCGAGGGCGGCCCUGACUCCGCUGAAUGGCGGCUAGCAGCUUCUGUGGUCCCAAGCAUACAGUCUGUGAUCCUUUUCCUGGAAGCCACAGGACACUCCCAGUUCCUCCUUGUAAGGCCCUUCUUGCUCCUUGUCCUGCCCCCUAGUCCCCGUCCCUGAGCCCCUGGGUCUCACUCUGUGGAAGGGGACCCUGCUGGGGGCCAGGAGGACCCAUGUAGGAUGUGGGAAGGAAAGACCAUGGCGUCCCCCGCUCCUGGCCCGCACUGCCAGGACAGGAUCCUGAGCAGGAGCAGCCUUGGGCUGCAGAGGGCAACAGCCUUUCUGCUCCUGCCUUUGUUCAAAAUUGUGGGAUUUUGCUCCUCUUGUAUUUUUUACAUGAAUUUUGACUCUUUAAAACACUGCAUUAAAAUAUUGGUCACCUAAUUCACAAA
This 4226-nucleotide long non-coding RNA is filed under the name Heterocephalus glaber (naked mole-rat). Its description in RNAcentral is "lncRNA (ENSHGLG00100051871.1)". The record is from RNAcentral. Lineage: Eukaryota; Metazoa; Chordata; Mammalia; Rodentia; Bathyergidae.